AAUCAACGCUGGCGGCGUGCCUCAGACAUGCAAGUCGAACGAUUAAAGCUCUCUUCGGAGAGUGCAUAGAGUGGCGCACGGGUGAGUAACACGUAAGUAAUCUACCCUCGAGUGGGGAAUAACGUCCGGAAACGGACGCUAAUACCGCAUAAUGCAGCGGCACCGCAAGGUGACAGUUGUUAAAGAUUUAUCGCUUGAGGAGGAGCUUGCGGCAGAUUAGCUAGUUGGUAAGGUAAUGGCUUACCAAGGCUACGAUCUGUAACCGGUCUUAGAGGACGGUCGGUCACACUGACACUGAAUAACGGGUCAGACUCCUACGGGAGGCAGCAGUCGGG
RNAcentral lists this ribosomal RNA (335 nucleotides) under uncultured bacterium. Its description in RNAcentral is "bacterial SSU rRNA". It matches the Rfam family "Bacterial small subunit ribosomal RNA", at positions 32 to 359 of the family's 1533-position model. The record is from RNAcentral.